GACGAACGCUGGCGGCGUGCCUAAUACAUGCAAGUUGAGCGCUGAAGGUUGGUCCUUGUACCAACUGGAUGAGCAGCGCACGGGUGAGUAACGCGUGGGGAAUCUGCCUUUGAGCGGGGGACAACAUUUGGAAACGAAUGCUAAUACCGCAUAAAAACUUUAAACACAAGUUUUAAGUUUGAAAGAUGCAAUUGCAUCACUCAAAGAUGAUCCCGCGUUGUAUUAGCUAGUUGGUGAGGUAAAGGCUCACCAAGGCGAUGAUACAUAGCCGACCUGAGAGGGUGAUCGGCCAGAUUGGGACGGAGACACGGCCCAAACUCCUACGGGAGGCAGCAGUAGGGAAUCGUCGGCAAUGGACGAAAGUCUGACCGAGCAACGCCGCGUGAGUGAAGAAGGUUGUCGGAUCGUAAAACUCGGUUGGUAGAGAAGAACGUUGGUGAGAGUGGAAAGCUCAUCAAGUGACGGUAACUACUCAGAAAGGGACGGCUAACUACGUG
RNAcentral lists this ribosomal RNA (497 nucleotides) under uncultured bacterium. RNAcentral describes it as "partial 16S ribosomal RNA". It matches the Rfam family "Bacterial small subunit ribosomal RNA", at positions 28 to 507 of the family's 1533-position model. The record is from RNAcentral.